CGAGGGUAAAGCCAAAAUAGAGGCCGGUUUUUGUUACAGACUGCACUGGGGAUCCUGCCCUCGA
RNAcentral lists this transfer RNA (64 nucleotides) under Sphaeroma serratum. RNAcentral describes it as "tRNA-Asn". The record is from RNAcentral. Lineage: Eukaryota; Metazoa; Arthropoda; Malacostraca; Isopoda; Sphaeromatidae.